RNAcentral lists this transfer RNA (74 nucleotides) under Haloarcula marismortui. Its description in RNAcentral is "tRNA-Trp". It matches the Rfam family "tRNA". From Rfam's summary of the family: Transfer RNA (tRNA) molecules are approximately 80 nucleotides in length. Their secondary structure includes four short double-helical elements and three loops (D, anti-codon, and T loops). RNAcentral also lists the same sequence under 52 other names. The record is from RNAcentral. Lineage: Archaea; Methanobacteriati; Methanobacteriota; Halobacteria; Halobacteriales; Haloarculaceae.
GGGGUCGUGGCCUAGUCCGGGAAGGCGGCUGACUCCAGAUCAGCCGAUCGGGGGUUCAAAUCCCUCCGACCCCA